This is a long non-coding RNA of Phasianus colchicus (ring-necked pheasant), 467 nucleotides long. RefSeq lists it as uncharacterized. Lineage: Eukaryota; Metazoa; Chordata; Aves; Galliformes; Phasianidae. The record is from RefSeq and is a predicted model, not a curated record.
CUCCAUGGACGGUGACCCCUCCACUCCCUGGGCAGCUGUGACACUACUUGAUCUGUCUUUCAAAGAAGAAAUGUUUCCUAAUAUCCAACCUGACCCUUCCCUGAAAGGAGAAGACACCCAAAACAAGGAAAAGCACGCUCCCACACACUAUUUGCUAGUGCAAGGACUAUAAACUGGGGACAGAUGGAGGGAAGGAAACUCCAAGUCCUCAUGGAGCCUUUGCACACUGAUGGCAAUGUCAGUAGAACAAGGGAGGACAAUUUCUUGAGGACUGGACCAGAAACUGAUGGAUGAGGCAAAGCCACAGAUCAAAUGGAAACGCCACCCCUCAAGCUUUCUGAAAUACACCAGACAAGGAAGGGGUGAUUUUUCACAUGAAUUAAACACCAUAGGAGCUUGGGAAUGCUUUGGAGAUAUGCUAGGAGGAGACAAGGGCAGAAAAAAUACAACUGUAUGCACUUACAUUA